AACGAACGCUGGCGGCAUGCCUAACACAUGCAAGUCGAACGAGACCUUCGGGUCUAGUGGCGCACGUGUGCGUACCGCGGGGGAACCUGCACUUAGGUUCGGAAUAACUCCCCGAGAGGGAUGCUAAUACCAGUUAAGCUCUUACGACCAAAGAUUUUUCGCCUUUGGAUGGGCCCGCGUUGGUUUAGCUAGUUGGUAGGGUAAAAGCCUGCCAAGGCGACGUUCCAUAGCUGGUCUGAGAGGAUGAUCAUCCACACUGGGCCUGAGACACGGCCCAGACUCCUACGGGAGGCAGCAGUGGGGAAUAUUGGACGAUGGGGGAAAGCCUGAUCCAGCAAUGUCGCGUGAGUGAUGAAGGGGUUAGGGUUGUAAAGCUGUUUUACCCGGGAUGAUAAUGACAGUACCGGGAGAAUAAGCACCGGCUAACUACGUG
This 433-nucleotide ribosomal RNA is filed under the name uncultured bacterium. RNAcentral describes it as "partial 16S ribosomal RNA". It matches the Rfam family "Bacterial small subunit ribosomal RNA", at positions 29 to 507 of the family's 1533-position model. The record is from RNAcentral.